CGUACGUGGGCGGGGCCGGCGCAGCGCGCCCACCGAGCCGGGGGGUGUGGUGGGCUAGCGGGCCGUGCCGGCCUUGUCCCUCGUGCUGGGGGCGUAACUCCUAGUCCUCUGCGGCCCGGAGUGAGCCGGUGGAGCAGGCCGCGGGGCACCCGCCGCCCGGGGCUGCCUGCCACUCCGGGCGUGUUUCCUCCGGGGGCGGCCUGGAGCCCCGGCUGUCGCUGUCCCGGCUUCCGCCGAGCUCGCAGUCCAGAUUCCACAGAGAAGUUUGAUCAUCCAGUAUUGUAAUCUGUCCGAUUUCUCUUAGCCGCAUGACUUCAAGAUCCAUCCAUGUUGUCCCAAAUGACCAUCAAGAACACUAUACCCAUCAUAGCUAGCUCCUCGGCGCUGGGCUGAUCAAACCCCCAUCUUGACUGACACUUCCACGAUCACCACAGCACUGGGAGAGAACCAUGGUAUGCUAUACACUGGCUUUUAUGUUUUCUGUGCAUAUGUGAUAUAUCACUUCUACUUACAUUUUAGAGUAUAACAACUCAAACGCCCAUGCCCAUCUUCAAAGAGAGCAAAGACCACACUGUUGUGUCCAACAUGUAAAGAAGUUGUCAGCAGAGGAGAUGACUAUUAAACUUAGUCCAAAGCCGACUCAACAGCUUUUAUUUUCUAAGCUUUGUUGGAAUACGUUAUACCAGAAGUAAUUUGCAGCAUGUUGUCUGUUUAACCAUGGACCUAUGCAAUGCUUUUAUCCAUGUUUUAAAAGGAAGGAAUUUGAUCAAAGGCAAACCAUCUUAUGUAAUUAGUCAAGGAAAAAGCUUUCAGGACUUUCAAAUGUUAACUGUUUUCCCUAUCUAGGAAGUGCUAUAAAGCUCAAAUUAGUUAGGAAUGACUUAUGCAUUUUUUGUUUUGAACACCUAGAGAUGCUUUUCAGAUAUGCGUAUUGCCAUAUUCUUGAUGCUUUGAAUGACCACAUCCAGUUCUGCACCUACACCCGCUGGCGUUGCUUUUUAACCUUCCUGGGGUCCAUUGUCUAAAAAAUAGAGACAUUUCCAGAUCACACACACGCACACACACACACACACACACACAAAGAGAGAGAGCAAAGAACUGCAGGCCAACCAUAUGCCAAGAAAGGGGAAAUGCGGACAUAUUUGGCAAGUGAGAGCAAGACCUCCCAUGUGAAUACAGACAUUGGGCCUUGGAAGAAGGAUGCUGCCAUACAGAAACUCACAAUCUGUACAGAACAAGUAGGCAGCAGGCAGUGAAGAAGCAGGUCAGCAGGCUGGGGAGCUGCAAAGCCCCAGUGCACCUUGGUAACAUAUCUAGUACGGCUGUCCCCAGUGAGAAGGAGAAGGUAGACCAUGAGCCUAGGGAGACCCUCCCUACGGGAAGUAGGAGGCGGAGUGCCGUGUGUACGAUACAGUUAUCUGCCUGUAGCAAGAUCUUACAGCAGAGAGGGGCUUAGAUGAGACCUGGUUGGUUUUCUGGAAGAGCUAGAGGGACUAAGGAAUUCUACAGAUCAAGGUCCUUUUAAAGUUAGAAAAGCUGACUGCUCCUGGACCCUAGGUCUAGGUGGUAACUUUUCCUAAAAGUUUUAAGUGAAAAAGGUACUAAAAGGUCUCUCAGUUUUUUAAAAAAAAGAAAUGUGACAUAAUCUUUCUACUAAGAUCAGAUUAAAGGUUUUAACUUUGCCAUCCAAACUUACUGUUUCAGAGAGCCUUCAGAUAGCCAUCAUUCGUACAGAGAGAGGGGCACGUAUAUGAGGGAGCAGAGAUGAAUCAUUCUUGAGAAUUAUAUAUGAGAAAGAGCUGUGGGAUUUACAAUACAGAAAGCCAAGUUUUUAAGGUAAUUGUAUUGUUGAAGAAAACAUGCACACAGGUAAAAAAAGAUUUUGAGCCGUAACACAAGCAAGCUCUCAGAGUGCCCCCAGCAGGAAGCCCAGAGAAGCUAUAUUUCUGGUUUACAGGUUGCUGGACCGUGAGGAGCCACAUUGGAACCCGACGGCAAGGACUGCAUCACACGGAGAUCUUAGAUCCCUCUCCUUUCCCUAAUAAAGGACUGCCCCAAAUGUGUGUUCUUUGACUUAACAGCCGCCUUCCAGGCAAGAACACGAGACCCAUGACAGGAGUAUCUUCCAUUAGUUUUCAGGGAAUAAGGUUCUUAUGGUGUAAAAUUUCACAUUUCAUAAUUGUUAGCUAUCUUUAGGGACUAAAGGUGCCAAGGUGAUAGGAGAAAAACUAGGUCUCUUCCUUUAAAUCUGUUCUGAGCUACCCUUGAGUAAAUUGAUGCUAUCAAUUUUUUGAUGCUCUAUUCUCAUAGCAACAGGCUGUGAUGUCAGCGGGUUAUUUCUCACAGAAGUUAUCCAAAAAAAGAUGCUGGGCUGAGAAGCAGAAAGCUGUGGCUUAAUUGCAUGGUAUUCAACUAUCACUUCACAUAAAUAAAAAUGGAAAUAGAAAAAGACUUGUACUAACAGUUUAUGUGAACACUUUUAUUAAUAGUUGUCAUGGUAUGAAGAAGCUUUCCUUUUAGUGCUUUAUCUCAGUGGUUAUAUAUUUUUUAAAAUAAUAUUACAGGGCAUUCAGUUACAAGUCUAAGCAAGACUAUCUCCUGCGAAUAAAGGUAGGCUAGGUCAGGCACACAGUCAAGAAAGCCACAUCAAAGCAUUUAAAAGAGUAAUCAGCAUGAUCAGAGAGGAAAAGACUACCUAUUACUAGGUUUGGAAUUUUUUUAUAGUAAGAACCUUAAAACAGUAGUUUCACUAGCAUACUUGAUCACAUGGAAAGGCAAAAUUAAAAGCACUAGCUUUGUUUAUCAGACAAAUGAUUAUCACUUGAACUCGGUUGGUGUAGGGAAGGCAGCACUCUGAAAAGCCGCCACUAACUCACGUGUCCGUGAAUUUGUGAAGUGGCCUCCGUGUAAGACAGGGUGGGUGCGUCUGGAGGCGCUCAGUUGGGACACAGCGACACAGAAGCCCAAGCCCAGUUGUUGAAGACGUGUGUUUGCCUGUUGACACUCCACGCUGGUCAGGGGUCCACUGGGGGCUCUGUUCUUUGUCAUCAGAGCAGCUGCUGUCUAGAACUGUGCUCGUUACUGGGGCAGAAGAAAGACAGAUGGAAAGGUUAUUUUGUGUAGGACAAGCAGCAUUUUUUUCUCUUACCUGGAAGGACGUCUGGAAGGUGUGGUUGUCAGUAGGACUGCUCCCAGACUUCCAGUGCUCGUUCUCUUCUCGUGCAUAAGUCCCAGCUGCUUACCUGUCCCCCACCCCCCGCCAUUAGAUGUGACCCUGUGACUUGCUUGGCUAAUACAGCGUGAAUAGAGCUGAUGGGCAGAAGCUUCCAGAGCGCCUGAGUGCUCUGCCACAUGGUUUCUUCUCCUUCAAUACCAAAAAGAUAUUUGUCAACAAAACUCAUAUAUAAGCAAAUACAAAGCAAAGCUCAAGAAAUACAAUUUUUGCUAAGAAGUAUAAAAACAUCACAAAACUACACUUAAAAAAAAAAAAUUCUCCCCUGGAGCCUGGGUGGCUCAGUGGGUGAAACGUCUGCCUUCGGCUCAGGUCAUGAUCUCAGGGUGCUGGGAUCGAGUCCGCAUGGGGC
This is a long non-coding RNA of Ailuropoda melanoleuca (giant panda), 3584 nucleotides long. RefSeq lists it as uncharacterized. The record is from RefSeq and is a predicted model, not a curated record. NCBI's taxonomy places the organism in Eukaryota, Metazoa, Chordata, Mammalia, Carnivora, Ursidae. The transcript is spliced from 3 exons.